Molecule: unclassified non-coding RNA, 253 nt
Filed under: uncultured Myxococcales bacterium
Lineage: Bacteria; Pseudomonadati; Myxococcota; Myxococcia; Myxococcales
Description: contains 16S-23S intergenic spacer region
Rfam family: Bacterial small subunit ribosomal RNA
Source: RNAcentral
UACGUAGGCGGCAAGCGUUGUUCGGAAUUAUUGGGCGUAAAGGGAGUGUAGGCGGUUUGUUAAGUCUUCUGUGAAAUCUACGGGCUUAGCCUGUAACGUGCAGAGGAAACUAGCAGGCUUGAGUGUCGGAGAGGAUAGGGGAAUACCCAGUGUAGAGGUGAAAUUCGUAGAGAUUGGGUGGAACACCAGUGGCGAAGGCGCCUAUCUGGCUGACAACUGACGCUGAGACUCGAAAGCAUGGGGAGCAAACAGG